RNAcentral lists this long non-coding RNA (766 nucleotides) under Nicotiana benthamiana. RNAcentral's name for it is "long non-coding RNA (NBEN_LNC018105)". Lineage: Eukaryota; Viridiplantae; Streptophyta; Magnoliopsida; Solanales; Solanaceae. The record is from RNAcentral.
ACUAAGUAGUGACUAUCUGCUGUGAUAUGUAUCAAUAAUCUUCAGUAGGAUGCUUGAUCCUCCUUCUCCUUUUUUCUUCCAUUCUUUUUAGAUGUGACGGUGCAAAAACCAGAAAAUUGGUUGCCUUUGUAAAACUUAUUUGAUACAUUUGCUACUGGAAAUUGCACAAUCUUUGAUUAGCAUAAUGAUAUAGGUUACAGUGUGGAAGACAGGGCUAGUUGUAGGCAGGUUGCAUGAAAUGAAAUUUAUGCACUUAAUGGGAUAACUUUUCUUUUUUCAAGUGAUGAAUUUCCAUAUCAUGUGCAGGAAAGUUUCAGGUGGAAUGGCAUGAUGAGCAAGAAAAAGGGUCAGAAAUGGGGCCAAGAGAAAGUCUCAUUUUCCCAAAGGAAUGAUUCUCCUGGUUCAAACAAAGAACGUCCUGAGAUGAUGAAUCGUGAGAGACAGAGAUGUGGCCAAGAGAAAGUCUCAUUUCCCGAAAAGAAUGAUUCUCCUGUUUCAAACAAAGAACGUCCUGAGGUGAUGAAUCGUGAGAGACAGAGAUGGGGCCGAGAGAAAGUCUCAUUUUCCCAAAACAACGAUUCUCCUGAGAUGAUGAAUCGAGAGAGUCAGAAAUGGGGUCAAGAGAAAGUUUCAUUUUCCCACAACAUGAUUCUCCUGAGAUGAUGAAUCAAGAGAGACAGAAAUGGGGUCAAGAAAAAGUUUCAUUUUCACACAACAAUGAUUCUCUAGGUUCAAGCAAAGGACAUCCUGAAAUGAUGAAUUGUGG